UACGUAGGGUGCGAGCGUUGUCCGGAAUUAUUGGGCGUAAAGGGCUCGUAGGCGGUCUGUCACGUCGGGAGUGAAAACUCAGGGCUUAACCCUGAGCCUGCUUCCGAUACGGGCAGACUAGAGGUAUGCAGGGGAGAACGGAAUUCCUGGUGUAGCGGUGGAAUGCGCAGAUAUCAGGAGGAACACCGAUGGCGAAGGCAGCUCGCUGGGACGGUACUGACGCUGAGGCGCGAAAGCGUGGGGAGCGAACAGG
Molecule: ribosomal RNA, 253 nt
Filed under: uncultured bacterium
Lineage: Bacteria
Description: partial 16S ribosomal RNA
Rfam family: Bacterial small subunit ribosomal RNA
Source: RNAcentral